UGAGGAAUUUUCGUCAAUGGGGGAAACCCUGAACGAGCAACGCCGCGUGCAGGAAGAAGGUCUUCGGAUCGUAAACUGCUUUUCUCUGGGACGAGCAAGGACGGUACCAGAGGAAGAAGCCCCGGCUAACUACGUGCCAGCAGCCGCGGUAAUACGUAGGGGGCAAGCGUUGUCCGGAUUUAUUGGGCGUAAAGCGUCCGCAGGCGGUCUUUCAAGUUUGGGGUGACAGUGCUCGGCUUAACCGAGUAAGUGCUUCGAAAACUGGAAGACUUGAGGGCUUCAGAGGAAGGCGGAAUUCCGGGUGGAGUGGUGAAAUGCGUAGAUAUCCGGAGGAACACCGAUGGCGUAGGCAGCCUUCUGGGAAGCAUCUGACGCUCAGGGACGAAAGCCAGGGGAGCGAACGGGAUUAGAUACCCCCGUAGUCC
Molecule: ribosomal RNA, 425 nt
Filed under: uncultured bacterium
Lineage: Bacteria
Description: bacterial SSU rRNA
Rfam family: Bacterial small subunit ribosomal RNA
Source: RNAcentral